AAAUAACUACGAGUAAAAACUUAAAAUUUAAAAGACUUGACGGUGCUUCACACCGACCUAGAGGAGCCUGUCCAAUAACCGAUAAUCCACGAUUAACCCAACCUUUUCUGGCCUAACAGUCUAUAUACCGCCGUCGCCAGCCUACCUUGUGAAAGAGACAAAGUAGACUAAACAGCAUUAUACUAACACGACAGGUCGAGGUGUAACUAAUGAAAAGGACCAAGAUGGGCUACAUUUCUUAAACCAAGAAAUAACGAACAGACUAUGAAACUAGAAACUGAAGGCGGAUUUAGCAGUAAGCUAAGAAUAAAAUACUUAACCGAAAUAUCAACGCAAUGAAGCGCGU
RNAcentral lists this ribosomal RNA (346 nucleotides) under Leioheterodon madagascariensis. RNAcentral describes it as "partial 12S ribosomal RNA". The record is from RNAcentral. Lineage: Eukaryota; Metazoa; Chordata; Lepidosauria; Squamata.